AAAUCAGGUAGGACUACCCGCUGAACUUAAGCAUAUCAAUAAGCGGAGGAAAAGAAACUAACAAGGAUUCCCCUAGUAACUGCGAGUGAAGCGGGAAAAGCUCAAAUUUAAAAUCUGGCGGUCUUUGGCCGUCCGAGUUGUAGUCUGGAGAAGUGCUUUCCGCGCUGGACCGUGUACAAGUUCUCCUGAA
This 190-nucleotide ribosomal RNA is filed under the name Ganoderma lucidum. RNAcentral describes it as "partial 28S ribosomal RNA". It matches the Rfam family "Eukaryotic large subunit ribosomal RNA", at positions 8 to 195 of the family's 3401-position model. The record is from RNAcentral. Lineage: Eukaryota; Fungi; Basidiomycota; Agaricomycetes; Polyporales; Polyporaceae.